CACUCAAUGGACUCCUUGUGAGUGCUUUCCCGAGACUGAAAAUCGGAAGGUCGACGGUUCGACCCCGUCCCUGGCCA
Molecule: transfer RNA, 77 nt
Filed under: Actinomycetota bacterium
Lineage: Bacteria; Bacillati; Actinomycetota
Description: Actinobacteria bacterium tRNA-Phe
Source: RNAcentral